This 497-nucleotide ribosomal RNA is filed under the name uncultured bacterium. Its description in RNAcentral is "partial 16S ribosomal RNA". It matches the Rfam family "Bacterial small subunit ribosomal RNA", at positions 28 to 507 of the family's 1533-position model. The record is from RNAcentral.
GAUGAACGCUGGCGGCGUGCCUAAUACAUGCAAGUCGAGCGAACAGAUGAGGAGCUUGCUCCUCUGACGUUAGCGGCGGACGGGUGAGUAACACGUGGAUAACCUACCUAUAAGACUGGGAUAACUUCAGGAAACCGGAGCUAAUACCGGAUAAUAUAUUGAACCGCAUGGUUCAAUAGUGAAAGACGGUUUUGCUGUCACUUCUAGAUGGAUCCGCGCCGCAUUAGCUAGUUGGUAAGGUAACGGCUUACCAAGGCAACGAUGCGUAGCCGACCUGAGAGGGUGAUCGGCCACACUGGAACUGAGACACGGUCCAGACUCCUACGGGAGGCAGCAGUAGGGAAUCGCCCGCAAUGGGCGAAAGCUUGACGGAGCAACGCCGCGUGAGUGAUGAAGGUCUUCGGAUCGUAAAACUCUGUUAUUAGGGAAGAACAAAUGUGUAAGUAACUAUGCACGUCUUGACGGUACCUAAUCAGAAAGCCACGGCUAACUACGUG